AUUGAACGCUGGCGGCAUGCCUUACACAUGCAAGUCGAACGGUAACGGGCCUUCGGGUGCCGCCGAGUGGCGGACGGGUGCGUAAUACAUCGGAACGUGCCCGAUCGUGGGGGAUAACGAGGCGAAAGCUUUGCUAAUACAGCAUACGAUCUACGGAUGAAAGCAGGGGACCGCAAGGCCUCGCGCGGACGGAGCGGCCGAUGGCAGAUUAGGUAGUUGGUGGGAUAAAAGCUUACCAAGCCGACGAUCUGUAGCUGGUCUGAGAGGAUGAUCAGCCACACUGGGACUGAGACACGGCCCAGACUCCUACGGGAGGCAGCAGUGGGGAAUUUUGGACAAUGGGCGCAAGCCUGAUCCAGCCAUGCCGCGUGCAGGAUGAAGGCCUUCGGGUUGUAAACUGCUUUUGUACGGAACGAAAAGCCUUCGUUUAAUACAGGAGGGUCAUGACGGUACCGUAAGAAUAAGCACCGGCUAACUACGUG
This 482-nucleotide ribosomal RNA is filed under the name uncultured bacterium. RNAcentral's name for it is "partial 16S ribosomal RNA". It matches the Rfam family "Bacterial small subunit ribosomal RNA", at positions 30 to 507 of the family's 1533-position model. The record is from RNAcentral.